UGAGGAAUUUUGCGCAAUAGGGGAAACCCUGACGCAGCAACGCCGCGUGAGUGAAGAAGGCCCUCGGGUCGUAAAGCUCUGUCAAGUGGGAAAAAAGCUUACUGGUAAAUAGCCAGCAAGACUGAUGGUACCAUUGAAGGAAGCACCGGCUAACUCCGUGCCAGCAGCCGCGGUAAUACGGAGGGUGCAAGCGUUGUUCGGAAUUACUGGGCGUAAAGGGCGUGUAGGCGGUGUGGUAAGUCAGAUGUGAAAGCCCUGGGCUUAACCCAGGAAGUGCAUUUGAAACUGCCAUGCUUGAGUAUGGGAGAGGAGAGUGGAAUUCCCAGUGUAGAGGUGAAAUUCGUAGAUAUUGGGAGGAACACCCGUGGCGAAGGCGACUCUCUGGACCAAUACUGACGCUGAGGCGCGAAAGCGUGGGGAGCAAACAGG
RNAcentral lists this ribosomal RNA (429 nucleotides) under uncultured Desulfobacterium sp. RNAcentral's name for it is "bacterial SSU rRNA". It matches the Rfam family "Bacterial small subunit ribosomal RNA", at positions 355 to 776 of the family's 1533-position model. The record is from RNAcentral. Lineage: Bacteria; Pseudomonadati; Thermodesulfobacteriota; Desulfobacteria; Desulfobacterales; Desulfobacteriaceae. RNAcentral also lists the same sequence under 1 other name.